UUUGUAGAAUGAACCGGCGAGUUACGAUUUGUUGCAAGGUUAAGCGGAAAAAGCGGAGCCGUAGCGAAAGCGAGUCUGAAUAGGGCGCAUAAGUAACAGGUCGUAGACCCGAAACCAGGUGAUCUACCCAUGUCCAGGAUGAAGGUAAGGUAAUACUUACUGGAGGUCCGAACCCACGCACGUUGAAAAGUGCGGGGAUGAGGUGUGGGUAGCGGAGAAAUUCCAAUCGAACUUGGAGAUAGCUGGUUCUCUCCGAAAUAGCUUUAGGGCUAGCCUCGAGGUAAAGAGUCAUGGAGGUAGAGCACUGUUUGGACUAGGGGCCCUUCUCGGGUUACCGAAUUCAGAUAAACUCCGAAUGCCAUGUACUUAUACUCGGGAGUCAGACUGCGAGUGAUAAGAUCCGUAGUCGAAAGGGAAACAGCCCAGACCACCAGUUAAGGUCCCCAAAUAUAUGUUAAGUGGAAAAGGAUGUGGGGUUGCUUAGACAACCAGGAUGUUGGCUUAGAAGCAGCCACCAUUGAAAGAGUGCGUAAUAGCUCACUGGUCGAGUGACCCCGCGCCGAAAAUGUACCGGGGCUAAACAUAUUACCGAAACUGUGGAUGAACCUCUUUAGAGGUUCGUGGUAGGAGAGCGUUCUAAGGGCGGUGAAGUCAGACCGGAAGGACUGGUGGAGCGCUUAGAAGUGAGAAUGCCGGUAUGAGUAGCGAAAGAAGGGUGAGAAUCCCUUCCACCGAAUAUCUAAGGUUUCCUGAGGAAGGCUCGUCCGCUCAGGGUUAGUCGGGACCUAAGCCGAGGCCGAUAGGCGUAGGCGAUGGACAACAGGUAGAGAUUCCUGUACCAGUGCUAAUUGUUUAACCGAUGGGGUGACACAGAAGGAUAGGGAAUCGCACGAAUGGAAAUGUGCGUCCAAGCAGUGAGUGUGAGAAGUAGGCAAAUCCGCUUCUCGCGAAGCAUGAGCUGUGAUGGGGAAGGAAAUUAAGUACGGAAGUUCCUGAUUUCACGCUGUCAAGAAAAGCCUCUAGGAAGAGUAGUACUGCCCGUACCGCAAACCGACACAGGUAGAUGAGGAGAGAAUCCUAAGGUGAGCGAGAGAACUCUCGUUAAGGAACUCGGCAAAAUGACCCCGUAACUUCGGGAGAAGGGGUGCUCUAUUAGGGUGCAAGCCCGAGAGAGCCGCAGUGAAUAGGCCCAGGCGACUGUUUAGCAAAAACACAGGUCUCUGCAAAACCGUAAGGUGACGUAUAGGGGCUGACGCCUGCCCGGUGCUGGAAGGUUAAGAGGAGUGCUUAGCUUCGGCGAAGGUACGAAUUGAAGCCCCAGUAAACGGCGGCCGUAACUAUAACGGUCCUAAGGUAGCGAAAUUCCUUGUCGGGUAAGUUCCGACCCGCACGAAAGGCGCAACGAUCUGGGCACUGUCUCAACGAGAGACUCGGUGAAAUUAUAGUACCUGUGAAGAUGCAGGUUACCCGCGACAGGACGGAAAGACCCCGUGGAGCUUUACUGCAACCUGAUAUGGAAUGUUUGUACCGCUUGUACAGGAUAGGUAGGAGCCGAAGAGACGUGUGCGCUAGCAUACGAGGAGGCAAUGGUGGGAUACUACCCUGGCUGUAUGACCAUUCUAACCCGCCACGCUUAGCGCGUGGGGAGACAGUGUCAGGUGGGCAGUUUGACUGGGGCGGUCGCCUCCUAAAGAGUAACGGAGGCGCCCAAAGGUUCCCUCAGAAUGGAUGGAAAUCAUUCGCAGAGUGUAAAGGCACAAGGGAGCUUGACUGCGAGACUGACAAGUCGAGCAGGGACGAAAGUCGGGCUUAGUGAUCCGGUGGUUCCGCAUGGAAGGGCCAUCGCUCAACGGAUAAAAGCUACCCCGGGGAUAACAGGCUUAUCUCCCCCAAGAGUCCACAUCGACGGGGAGGUUUGGCACCUCGAUGUCGGCUCGUCGCAUCCUGGGGCUGUAGUCGGUCCCAAGGGUUGGGCUGUUCGCCCAUUAAAGCGGCACGCGAGCUGGGUUCAGAACGUCGUGAGACAGUUCGGUCCCUAUCCGUCGCGGGCGCAGGAAAUUUGAGAGGAGCUGUCCUUAGUACGAGAGGACCGGGAUGGACACACCGCUGGUGUACCAGUUGUUCCGCCAGGAGCAUCGCUGGGUAGCUAUGUGUGGCAGGGAUAAACGCUGAAAGCAUCUAAGCGUGAAGCCCCCCUCAAGAUGAGAUUUCCCAUUUCUUCGGAAAGUAAGAUCCCUGAAAGAUGAUCAGGUAGAUAGGUUUGGAGUGGAAGUGUAGCGAUACA
Molecule: ribosomal RNA, 2284 nt
Filed under: Listeria monocytogenes
Lineage: Bacteria; Bacillati; Bacillota; Bacilli; Caryophanales; Listeriaceae
Description: partial 23S ribosomal RNA
Rfam family: Bacterial large subunit ribosomal RNA
Source: RNAcentral